UAUUAAAUAUCUUAAUUUUUAAAGUAUUGAUCUUUUAAAUCAAUUAUAGUAAAUAACUUACUUUUAAUAA
RNAcentral lists this transfer RNA (70 nucleotides) under Prosevania sp. ZJUH_2016031. Its description in RNAcentral is "tRNA-Lys". The record is from RNAcentral. Lineage: Eukaryota; Metazoa; Arthropoda; Insecta; Hymenoptera; Evaniidae.